GACAGAGGGGGCAAGCGUUGCUCGGAAUCACUGGGCGUAAAGGGCGCGUAGGCGGGAUGGCAAGUCGGUCGUGAAAUCCCUGGGCUCAACUCAGGGGGGUCGGCCGAUACUGCCGUUCUUGAGGGAUGCAGAGGAGACUGGAAUUCCCGGUGUAGCGGUGAAAUGUGUAGAGAUCGGGAGGAACACCGGUGGCGAAGGCGGGUCUCUGGGCAUUCCCUGACGCUGAGGCGCGAAAGCGUGGGGAGCGAACAGG
This 253-nucleotide ribosomal RNA is filed under the name uncultured bacterium. RNAcentral's name for it is "partial 16S ribosomal RNA". It matches the Rfam family "Bacterial small subunit ribosomal RNA", at positions 524 to 776 of the family's 1533-position model. The record is from RNAcentral.